GUGAGUCUCUAAAUUCUCAUUUGAAAUACAUUAAGAAGACUCAAAUCAAAGUACCCUGUGGCAGGGCAUACACAAAAACUGAAACAACAAAUACACGAACAACACCUCCGCCCCCUUGGCACGCCUUAGUUUGAGGCUGCCGCUUCAGCGUCUAUUGUAUUCCAUCGUCGAAAUAUGAGGCACGACUCUGGCAUUAAACUUCAAAAUAAAAAAAUAACAAAAAAUAAAACGAGCGCUGCAAAAUGCCAAAAUGCAGCCGUGGCGAGGACUCUGGUGUUGGCCAGGCCAAGAACAAUAAAAUGAGCACAACACCAGCGUCGAAAAAAAAAAAACGAAAAAAUGAAAAUACAAAAAGGCAGGAGGAGCGAAAAGAUAAGCAGACGGAGACGGACGAUGGAUGCUGCCGAGGAUGAGGACGAGGCAUGGUAGAUGCUGGAGCUAGAUGCUGCUGCUGCUGCUGGGAGCCACUUCAGACUUGGGAUGUGCAAGUGUUGGCCAAGAAAUAAAAGUUGCUGACCUUAAGCCAAGUCUUUGUCUAUGCAGCCGAAGUAAAGUUUUAUUUUUUCCCCAUUUUCCCCCCA
This is a long non-coding RNA of Drosophila kikkawai, 581 nucleotides long. RefSeq lists it as uncharacterized. Lineage: Eukaryota; Metazoa; Arthropoda; Insecta; Diptera; Drosophilidae. The record is from RefSeq and is a predicted model, not a curated record.